Molecule: RNA transcript, 4304 nt
Organism: Sorex araneus (European shrew)
Lineage: Eukaryota; Metazoa; Chordata; Mammalia; Eulipotyphla; Soricidae
Gene name: pleckstrin homology domain-containing family M member 1-like
Exons: 5
Source: RefSeq, a predicted model, not a curated record
GGCUAGUGUCCUCGCCACAGGCGCCGCUUUUUGUUGUCUGGGGCUGGGAGGCCGCCACCACAUUUGGGGGCGAAGCGGGGGGGCUGCGGCUAUCCUGAGCGCCGGUCAGCGCCUUCCGGCUCCCUGUGGUGCCAGGUCAUUGAGUUUUGACCAUUUGGGACUCCUGAACCUACGGACUGUGACCUCAGAGCAGCACACACACUUGCCCCAUGCACAGUGGGUGCACAUUCCCUCCACAUUCUCUUGACCGGGCAGCAGACUUGGUUAUUUCACGGCUGUUGAUAAGGACCCUAAGGAGAACCCAUAGUCUCUGUGCCGCUUCUCCGAGUCUCAUUCCUUUGAGACUCCUUCACGUGCCUCCAGGAUCCCCCUGCUUAAGACACUUGUCCAGAAAUCCAGCUUGGCUCAAAUCAAGAAGGCGCCAUUUACUCAUUGAGCACUUGUGGCUGAAAAGUCAGCUGCCCUUCUGAGUCAGAAGAUAACCUCGUCAUGCUUCUUCCAACAGCAAACUUUGCUGUGCUUCCCCAGCUGUGAGCAUGAUUCAUCAGGUGGCACCACCGCUGCAUGGCUGAGAGUCAGUCUAUUGUUCCACGCGGCCCAGUACAGGACUGGGGUCAGGCCCCAGAGAGCUGGCCGGCAGGGAUGGCUGAGAAGUCUCUCAGGAGCACAGAUUGCUGUUUACUCCUGGAUGAAGUGUUUUCAAGGCAGGUCAUCAAGAAGGGGCUUGUGGGCUCCAUGAAGGCCUUGCAGAAGCAGUACGUGUCCUGGGACAUGGUGGUGACGAGUAAGGAUGCCGACGCCAACACCGUGUACAGUGCCGUGGAGGCCAUGUUCAUCCAUGGUCUGCACACCAAGCACAUCCUCACCGAGGAGGGAGACAAAAGGAAGAAGCGUGCCCAAUGGAAGCCCUUGCCGCAGCCUGCCUUCUGGCCCCUCCUGAAAGCCGUCACCCAGAACUUCCAAGGGUGUUGUCAGAAUUCAUCAAGGCCCAGAUGGACUCUGUGCCAACCUGCCAACUAAACCAGGAAGCAGCAAGCCCUGUGCCGCCCGGCCUGCACUCAAGCACACGCCCGCACUCCACCACAUUAGUUCAGCCCUGCCUGCCCCGGCCUUCUCCUGCGCUCCUCCAGAUGGUGGCUCCCCAGACUUGCCACCACCGGGAACUGCCCCUGUUGUCUCUGCAGGGAGCACUCCAUGCCAGUAGCCUUCAAGUCUGGUGGGUGAACUGACCAGCACAGCCCGCCAGGGAGCCACCAGCCAGAGCUCCGGGAGGGUGGAGCCGGACUGAGAAUCGUGGUUCCCUCACCUGCAGCCCAGUGAGUAGUGCGAGCUGUGGGUGGGGUGGAAGGGCCCCAUGAAAUGUCUCAGCUAGUGACUCUGAGUGGUCCCUGCCUUUUCCCCAUUAGCCCUGGGUCCCCUCCCAGUGCUGGGAUUCAUUGCCUGGCAAUGAUGGAGCCCGGGCUUCUGGGUGUAAGUCAAGGAGAUGAGGCAGGCACAGUGCUGGACACUUCCUGUGGGUGUGUCUUGUCAACGCAUAUCAACCAUGGGGGGAAGCUAAUGCUCAUCUUAACACAGACUCCACGCUGAGGCUCAUCUGUGCCAAAAUAGUUUCCAAAGGCAAGACACUUUGCUCACUGAGCCUUUAUUUUCCCUCAGCCCAUAUUAAAUUAACAGUUCAUAAAAUUCUCAUUCUGCGACAUGAAUCAGGUUUAGAACUACACACUCUCCAGGGACUGGAGCGAUAAUACAAUGGGGAGGGGGCUUGUCUUGUGACAUGGCCAACCCACGUUUGACCCCCGACAGCCCAUAUAGUCCCCAAGCACCACCAGGAGUGAUUCCUGAGUGCAGAGUCAGAAGUAAGCGCUGAGCAUUGCCAUGUAGGGUACAAAAGACAAAGGAACCACAUUGUCUAAUAAUCUACCAGUGAACACUUGAAAGACGGCUAGUCCUGGGCUGGGGAGAUAGCUCUGUGGUCAUGGGUUGCAUGCCUUGCGUGCACAGGGACUCAUUUUCACUUCCCGGUUCCUCAUGCUUCAUUCACCACAUGGCAUGAGUCCUAGCACUGGCCCGUCCAGCCCAGUUGACCGAGUAUCGCUGAAGUAGUCCAGUGUGUUGAUCAUCCAAGGGAAGCCAGCCAUAUGCAGCUCCUGGGAGAACCCUGCGUGGGCCCUUGUGAGCUUAGACCAGGGCUAAGUAGUCCCGCUGGGAGGCCACACCCUUGCUGCUUCACAUUUUUUCUCAGGAAACAGGUGAAGAUUCCCAGAGAAAAUUAUGGAUCUUUUAUAGUGACCCUUCUGUUUGAAAGAGAACUUGUGACUUUAUUAGCAGCAAACGAUGCAUAGAAAAUAAACUUUGUGAUUUUACUCAAUACCAAAUAGAUUAAUGUGUACUCUCUUAGGGUGUUUUUUGGCACAUUCCUCUGGUGCUCAGUUUCUACUCCUGGUGUGGUGCUCUGGGUACCAUGGGGUGCUGGGGACUAAACCUGGAGCUGCUGCAAGCAAAGUAAACACUACAGGUCUUUGAGCUAUCUCUCCAGCCCUUACUGAGGUUUUUUUUUUUAAUAUAUUAAAUUUUUUUAAUUUAUUUUAUUGAAUCACCAAGUGGAAAGUUACAAAGUUCUCAGGCUUAUAUCUCCGUUAUACAAUGCUCAAACACCCAUCCCUUCACCAGUGCCCAUAUUCCACCACCAAUAAAAACAAAAACAAAACAAAAACAAAAGCAAAAACAAAAAAGAACAGUAUACAUCCCACCCCUCACCCCCCAAACCCCCCGUGCGUGAGUGAUAAUUUCACUUCCUUUUCUCUUUACCUUGAUUACAUUCCAGAUUUCAACACACAACUCACUAUUGUUGUUAGAGUUUCAAAACAGACUCACUAUUUUUUUGGAAUUUAUCCCCCAAGAAUACAGCUCUAUUAACAAGGAAAUAUUUGAUAAUAAGAUUUCCACUGAUGAGAAUGAAGCAAUAAAAUGUCGGUUUACAAUUUCUGUAUUAUAGUAAUUAAGUCCGCGGAGAUUUAAGUUGGAAAAUGAAUCAUUUACCUUCCUGGACCAGCAUGUAGCAAAAGCUUAGUUCACAGUCUCCAUACAUGGGUGCAAGCACUUGCUGGAACCCCAAAUCCUAAAUUGUCUCUGGUUCCCGCUCGUUCCACAUCCACCGGCUGUGCAGAGGCAUGGGCACCCGGGCGAAACCGGGCCGGAGCCCAGCACCGGCCCCAGCGGGGACUCCCUUACUGAGGUUUUUUGUUUGAUUAUUUGUUUUCUUUGUUUUCUUUGGGCCAUACCCAACAGUGCUCGGAAGUUACUCCUGACUCUGUGCUCAGGGGACCAUAAUGGAUGCUGGGGAUCAAACUGAGGUCAGCCGCAUGCAAGGCAAGCCCCCUACCCACUGUACUGUCUCUGCCCCCUGAUUUUUUUUUUUUUGUAACCAAGAAAUCUGAAGCUUCCAAUUAGAGCCUCUCAUUAGCACCACAACCAGGUUGGCAACUUUGAAAUCUAGAAUGUGAGUAAACACAAAUUUUAAUAGCUUCGUGUAAUCUGCACACACUUUGUGACUCAGUAAAUGUGUUACCUCAGGCUGUGUAUCAUAUGUGCCCACAAACCAAAAUGGGUACAAGGCUUAAUAUAUGAAAGAAAAUUAUGUGGCCCCUUGAUAUUCUGAGGGAAAUAAUGCCACCUCUCAAAAUGGGCACGGACAAGUGCCCAGGUCACUAGCCCCCAAGGAAGAAUGUAGCAGUGUGUUAGUCGAAGGGACAGAUGUUCCGUGGUUGUUGAUUUGACUUGAGCAUUGGUGGAAAAGGUCCGGUGUGAGGUCAGCUCCAGGUGGCUGGGCCAGGGAAAGGGAAGGCAGCUGCCCAGUGAUGCUCAGGGGUUACUCCAGCUCUGUGCUCAGAAGGGUACAAGGCAAACGCCCUACUGCUGUGUUCUCACUUCAGCUCCACUUCUUAGAUUUGUAAUUCUUUGACAUGUUUAUUUUGUGUGUGUGCAUAUGUGAUCCGAGGGGUUGAACCUAGGACCUCACACUUAGAAGCCUGUGCUCUGCCACUGAACCAUAACCCUUCCCCCUGGCCCCAACUACUACCACUUUCUUUUUAUUUUAUUAUCAUUAUUAUUAUUAUUAUUUGCUUUUUGGGUCAUACCUGGCGAUGCACAGGAGUUCCUCCUGGCUCUGCACUCAGGAAUUACUCCUGGUGGUGCUCAGGGGACCAUAGGGGAUGCUGGGAAUCGAACCCGGGUCGUCCGCGUGCAAGGCAAACGCCCUACCCGCUGUGCUAUUGCUCCAGCCCCUACCACUUUCACGUAACACA